ACAAUAGCAUUGUGGUCCCACCUGAUCCCAUCCCGAACUCAGAAGUGAAACGCAAUCGCGCCGAUGGUAGUGUG
This 74-nucleotide ribosomal RNA is filed under the name Shewanella sp. Sh95. The record is from RNAcentral. Lineage: Bacteria; Pseudomonadati; Pseudomonadota; Gammaproteobacteria; Alteromonadales; Shewanellaceae.